AAGGGACGAGAGAAGUUAAUGAUAUUAACUGAUCAUGAGAAGUUAGUGUCGGAAAUGGCUAAGAUGGAGUUGGAAAUUAAAUAUCCGACAGAAUUCGAUGAAAAAUUAUUCCAGAUGGGAAACGGUUCAAUGUUGGUAGAUAAGGUGAAAAAUGCAUAACUUUAGGAUGAAGACUGCGAAAAGAUAAAACAGAGAGUCUCUAAAGGUGAGGAAAAC
Molecule: long non-coding RNA, 216 nt
Filed under: Panax ginseng (ginseng)
Lineage: Eukaryota; Viridiplantae; Streptophyta; Magnoliopsida; Apiales; Araliaceae
Description: long non-coding RNA (PGIN_LNC014026)
Source: RNAcentral